Molecule: ribosomal RNA, 253 nt
Filed under: uncultured bacterium
Lineage: Bacteria
Description: partial 16S ribosomal RNA
Rfam family: Bacterial small subunit ribosomal RNA
Source: RNAcentral
GACAGAGGGUGCAAACGUUGUUCGGAAUUACUGGGCGUAAAGCGCGUGUAGGCGGCCAUCUAAGUCGGGCGUGAAAUCCCUCGGCUUAACCGGGGAACUGCGUCUGAUACUGGAUGGCUCGAGUUUGGGAGAGGGAUGCGGAAUUCCAGGUGUAGCGGUGAAAUGCGUAGAUAUCUGGAGGAACACCGGUGGCGAAGGCGGCAUCCUGGACCAACACUGACGCUGAUGAGCGAAAGCCAGGGGAGCAAACGGG